This 156-nucleotide long non-coding RNA is filed under the name Cavia porcellus (domestic guinea pig). RNAcentral's name for it is "lncRNA (ENSCPOG00000038788.1)". The record is from RNAcentral. Lineage: Eukaryota; Metazoa; Chordata; Mammalia; Rodentia; Caviidae.
GUAGGUGGUAAGGGAAGUAAGGCCACUGCCUGUGGCUCAACAAGAAAACCAGAGUCAAGGUUCCACACAAGGUGGAAGUUGAGAAUAUGCUCGUAAAAGGAUGGAGUGACAAAAAGUACAGUGGUCGGAGAGUAAGUUUAUACAAUGAAGAUUAAC